RNAcentral lists this long non-coding RNA (869 nucleotides) under Mytilus galloprovincialis (Mediterranean mussel). The record is from RNAcentral. Lineage: Eukaryota; Metazoa; Mollusca; Bivalvia; Mytilida; Mytilidae.
AAAAAUUAUUUUAGCGACAACAAGCGACAAGAAGACUAUUUAGCGACAAGAAAACAUUUUUUUUUAAUUAGAUAUAAAGAAAUUUGUAUUUAAUGGUAUAUAUAAGAUAAUGUAUGUAUCUGUUUUCAUCAAAGUCAAAGUAUGAAUAAACGAAUGGAGAUAUAUAUGGAGCGGGCAUAAUGGAAUAUAAUAUUUUGAUUCAUUUGCUUAAUACUAUGCUCUAAGUGUAAUCUUGUUAUGUCAAUUCGAUGCUUUAUUUGUAGAACUCUCAACCACGCUUUGCCAUCUUUAUUAUUUAAGCGUGUUUCCAGACCCCACGACGAGGACGUGGUUCUACCUUGGGGUCCAUAUACAGAGCACGUACUUUUGCGAGAAUAAUACUGAAAUGCUGACAAUUUACUUUAUACUAAACAUAAAAGUUGAAUGGCUUCAGUCAGCUUGGUAGAGCAAAGGAAAUGCACACGCUAUAAAAUUGAAACAGAAACAAAAAAAGGUCAACUUUCCUUUGAAGGAUUUAUUGAAACAAAAACAUGAAAUAUUAUUUCCUUUCUAACAGUAUAAUUCAUUGUUCUUGAUAGGAACAACAUUAGAUGUGGCUUCACCCUAAGGUAAUAACAGUACACACAAUGUGGAACAUCAAAUGAGAUUAACGAGUCGCGUGUCCCCUGUUUUAUUGCUACAAUAACAUCCACUUAACACCUUCAACUUUGUACACGCGUCAGACUAUACAAUUACACGCGCCAGAAUAUAUAAUCAUUGUAAAUAGUGAACACCUGUUGAAAACUCAAGAUUGUCAUUAAUUUCCUUUCAUCUUCAAUCAAUAUGCAUAAACAUGAUAAAUAUCGUUUAAUGAGGCAAUAAACAAAUAA